CUCCCGGCUGAGCUCAGCUCUGACGCGGGCCCUGCCGAGGAUGCUCUUACUCACACCGUGCCCUCCUCACGUCACGGAGCAGCAGCAGCAGCGCCCUGCCCAGAGGAGCGGGCUGGCUCCAAGGCUCCCCUGUUCCCUGGAAGGGCACGUUCCCAAACCCCGCAGCUGCUGGGGCCGGCAGCACCUGCCGCUGGGAGAAGGUGACACAGGCUCCCCAGCCCUCCCUGUCACCCCGGGCAAGGGCUGGGUCUGCCCUGCCUUCCCCCGUCCACGAUUCGGGGUUUUAGUCUCUGAUCUCAGCUGAACACCCCCGGGCAGAGCAGCACCUUUGGAGGGACUGGUGAGGGACUGGGGCCUGUCGGCCCUGGCAUCAAACCCCUCGGGAAGGGGGUCCCAGCCCGGGGGCUCGGCCUGGCCAUGGAGCCGGCCGGGGCUGUGGAAGGAAGGAGGAGCAGGCCAGGAACCGGCUGGACCCGUUCCGCCGGUGCCAUCGGGAAGGGUGACUGUGAGUGGCACGCCAACCAUCGUGUCCAGUCCCUGAGGAAUGCACCCAGGAUCGUCAGGGGAGCACUCCUGGGAAACGCCUCUGCCCUGGCUGUCAGUCAUCCCCCUGAGCACCUCGGGAUGCCAGAGGAGGAUUUCAAUCAAAUUUGUCAGAGCUGGAAUGCGUGUCCGGGCGCGGGGAUCCGCCCCGGUGAGCGAGCAGCAGCCCGGCAGCAGCUCGGGCACGUGUGGGUCAUUCCCGGAGAGCAGGAGCAGGCAAGAGCAGGAUCCGGGAGCUUGGGGCAGGCUGGAAUGCCGCGGAGCAGGCAGGAGCCUCCGCAGGAGCUGAUCUGCUCUUGGGGUGGCUCGGGAGGGAUGGGAAUGCCUGGGCUGCUCACUCCAGGCUGGAUCCAAGAGGUGAGAGAAGGUGGUUGUCAGGGAAAUCACGGAGCUGCUGGCCUGUGUUUAGAGCUGAACAGAACAAAUACUCCUCCUACAGAGGGGAAAAAAGCUUUUUCAAGGUUCCUCUGCCUGUGCACACAACAGGUUCUACACCCAGGGGUGCUGGGCACUGGAACAGGCUCCCCAGAGAAGUGGUCACAGCACGAGUCUGCCAGAGGUCAGGAAGGGUUUGGAAACCCUCAGAAGCACAUUGGGGCUGUCCUUGAUGCUCUGCGUGGCUCCAUUCCAAGCCAGGGUAUUCCACAGAUCCACAGGAACUCAAACCCUCGGUGGAGCAGAAAAAGCUGA
Molecule: long non-coding RNA, 1233 nt
Filed under: Junco hyemalis (dark-eyed junco)
Lineage: Eukaryota; Metazoa; Chordata; Aves; Passeriformes; Passerellidae
Description: lncRNA (ENSJHYG00000003815.1)
Source: RNAcentral